GUUGCCGUGGCCGAGUGGUUAAGGCGAUAGACUUGAAAUCUUUUGGGAUUUUCCCGCGCAGGUUCGAAUCCUGCCAACAACG
RNAcentral lists this transfer RNA (82 nucleotides) under Dreissena polymorpha. Its description in RNAcentral is "transfer RNA serine (anticodon UGA)". It matches the Rfam family "tRNA". From Rfam's summary of the family: Transfer RNA (tRNA) molecules are approximately 80 nucleotides in length. Their secondary structure includes four short double-helical elements and three loops (D, anti-codon, and T loops). Lineage: Eukaryota; Metazoa; Mollusca; Bivalvia; Myida; Dreissenidae. The record is from Rfam by way of RNAcentral.